GACGAAGGGGGCUAGCGUUGUUCGGAAUUACUGGGCGUAAAGCGUGUGUAGGUGGUUGUCAUAGUCAGGUGUGAAAGCCUUGAGCUCAACUCAAGAAAUGCACUUGAUACUGGGCAGCUAGAGGACCGGAGAGGAUAGUGGAAUUCCCAGUGUAGUGGUGAAAUACGUAGAGAUUGGGAAGAACACCAGUGGCGAAGGCGGCUAUCUGGACGGUUUCUGACGCUAAGACGCGAAAGCGUGGGGAGCAAACAGG
This 253-nucleotide ribosomal RNA is filed under the name uncultured bacterium. RNAcentral describes it as "partial 16S ribosomal RNA". It matches the Rfam family "Bacterial small subunit ribosomal RNA", at positions 524 to 776 of the family's 1533-position model. The record is from RNAcentral.